CCCCGGUUAGCUAAGCGGUAGAGCAGCGCCCCUACAAGGCGACGGUCUGCGGUUCGAUCCCGUGACUGGGGA
RNAcentral lists this transfer RNA (72 nucleotides) under Rhodoferax saidenbachensis. It matches the Rfam family "tRNA". Rfam says of the family: Transfer RNA (tRNA) molecules are approximately 80 nucleotides in length. Their secondary structure includes four short double-helical elements and three loops (D, anti-codon, and T loops). Further hydrogen bonds mediate the characteristic L-shaped molecular structure. tRNAs have two regions of fundamental functional importance: the anti-codon, which is responsible for specific mRNA codon recognition, and the 3' end, to which the tRNAs corresponding amino acid is attached (by aminoacyl-tRNA synthetases). tRNAs cope with the degeneracy of the genetic code in two manners: having more than one tRNA (with a specific anti-codon) for a particular amino acid; and 'wobble' base-pairing, i.e. permitting non-standard base-pairing at the 3rd anti-codon position. The record is from Rfam by way of RNAcentral. Lineage: Bacteria; Pseudomonadati; Pseudomonadota; Betaproteobacteria; Burkholderiales; Comamonadaceae.